GACCCGUUCUUCUAGAGGUUCAGAAUGCUGGCCCCUCAAGCCGGUGACAUCGGUUCGAAUCCGAUACGGGUUA
This 73-nucleotide transfer RNA is filed under the name Thalassoglobus neptunius. It matches the Rfam family "tRNA". From Rfam's summary of the family: Transfer RNA (tRNA) molecules are approximately 80 nucleotides in length. Their secondary structure includes four short double-helical elements and three loops (D, anti-codon, and T loops). The record is from Rfam by way of RNAcentral. Lineage: Bacteria; Pseudomonadati; Planctomycetota; Planctomycetia; Planctomycetales; Planctomycetaceae.